GAUGAACGCUGGCGGCGUGCCUGACCUAUGCAAGUCGAACGUGCUCCUCUCUAGCCUUUGGCUGGAGAGGGGAAAGUGGCGUCCGGGUGAGUAACACGUAGGUGACCUACCCCGAAGAGGGGGAUAACCACCGGAAACAGUGGCUAAUACCCCAUGUGAUGCGGUAUUCGCUUACCGUAUUAAAGGUUGAGCUUAGGCUCUUCUGCUUCGGGAGGGGCCUGCGGCCGAUUAGCUAGUUGGUGAGGUAAUGGCUCACCAAGGCGAUGAUCGGUAGCUGGUCUGAGAGGACGAUCAGCCACACUGGCACUGACACACGGGCCAGACUCCUACGGGAGGCAGCAAGGAGGAAUAUUGCGCAAUGGGCGAAAGCCUGACGCAGCAACGCCGCGUGGGUGAUGAAGGCCUUCGGGUUGUAAAACCCUUUUCUGGGGGAAGAGGAAGGACGGUACCUCAGGAAUAAGCCUCGGCUAACUACGUG
Molecule: ribosomal RNA, 478 nt
Filed under: uncultured bacterium
Lineage: Bacteria
Description: bacterial SSU rRNA
Rfam family: Bacterial small subunit ribosomal RNA
Source: RNAcentral